RNAcentral lists this long non-coding RNA (265 nucleotides) under Musa acuminata (dwarf banana). Its description in RNAcentral is "long non-coding RNA (MACU_LNC008265)". The record is from RNAcentral. Lineage: Eukaryota; Viridiplantae; Streptophyta; Magnoliopsida; Zingiberales; Musaceae.
CAUCAUCACCUCGAAAAAAUUGCUGCAUUAAACAGAGAAGGGAAGCGUUGCCACCAUUAUGUCUUGAGAGCAUACGCUUACAAACUAACAUACCGUUUACUGCUGAAUAGAUUAUCCUCUUUAUUUAUUUCUGUGUUUUAUUUAUUUUUUCCAAAAAGCAUGGUCAACAGAUGAAUGAAAUCAGUGCAGGAUGGGCAAUAUAAUUUUCUGGCAAUUUAUCGUCACCACUUGUUCUUUAAAAAAUAAAAAUAAAAAUAAAAAUAAA